RNAcentral lists this ribosomal RNA (610 nucleotides) under uncultured bacterium. Its description in RNAcentral is "bacterial SSU rRNA". It matches the Rfam family "Bacterial small subunit ribosomal RNA", at positions 355 to 957 of the family's 1533-position model. The record is from RNAcentral.
UGGGGAAUAUUGCACAAUGGGGGGAACCCUGAUGCAGCCAUGCCGCGUGUAUGAAGAAGGCCUUAGGGUUGUAAAGUACUUUCGUGGAGGAGGAAGGGUUUACGUUUAAUAGGCGUGGACACUGACGUUACUCCAAGAAGAAGCACCGGCUAACUCCGUGCCAGCAGCCGCGGUAAUACGGAGGGUGCGAGCGUUAAUCGGAAUGACUGGGCGUAAAGGGCAUGUAGGCGGAUGGUUAAGUUAGAUGUGAAAUCCCUGGGCUUAACCUAGGAAUUGCAUUUAAAACUGGUUAUCUAGAGUAUUGUAGAGGAAGGUAGAAUUCCAUGUGUAGCGGUGAAAUGCGUAGAGAUGUGGAGGAAUACCGGUGGCGAAGGCGGCCUUCUGGACAGAUACUGACGCUGAGAUGCGAAAGCGUGGGGAGCAAACAGGAUUAGAUACCCUGGUAGUCCACGCUGUAAACGAUGUCGAUUUGGAGUUUGUUGCCUAGAGUGAUGGGCUCCGAAGCUAACGCGAUAAAUCGACCGCCUGGGGAGUACGGCCGCAAGGUUAAAACUCAAAUGAAUUGACGGGGGCCCGCACAAGCGGUGGAGCAUGUGGUUUAAUUCGAUGC